AACUUUUUAAAAGGCAGAUUCUGAUUCUGGAGGACAGAGUGAGGUCUGAGGUUGUGCAUUUCUAACAACCUUCC
RNAcentral lists this microRNA precursor (74 nucleotides) under Dasypus novemcinctus (nine-banded armadillo). RNAcentral describes it as "miRNA (ENSDNOG00000036595.1)". The record is from RNAcentral. Lineage: Eukaryota; Metazoa; Chordata; Mammalia; Cingulata; Dasypodidae.